Carica papaya (papaya) is the source of this 616-nucleotide non-coding RNA. The record is from RefSeq and is a predicted model, not a curated record. NCBI's taxonomy places the organism in Eukaryota, Viridiplantae, Streptophyta, Magnoliopsida, Brassicales, Caricaceae.
AAUAUCAGGACUUGAAAUCGGGAAGGACGAUUGGCAAUGUUAGGAUGCGCUCAGGCUUGUAUCUUCUUCAAACAGACUCUUCUGGAAGAUAAAUUCAAACGCUCUGCAGAACUGCUGAAGAACACCCAGAAAUACUAUUCUUGAAAGUCAAUUUUGAUGAGAACAAGCCUAUGUGCAAAAGUUUGAAUGUCAAGGUGCUUCCUUAUUUCCACUUUUAUCGUGGGGCCCAUGGACAACUUGAAUCUUUCUCAUGUUCACUAGCAAAGUUUCAGAAAAUAAAAGAUGCAAUUGAAAUGCACAACACAGAACAUUGCAGUAGGAGUCCACCAAAGGGGGUUGGAGAUCUAAGUCUUGAAUCUGUCUCUGCUCCAGUUGACAAACUAUCUGGGUCAACUGAAACGUAAAAUUAAGCAUUUAUCCUUUGACAUUGAGUACCAUAUAUAUCUCAGCUAAUGAUCUUCCACUGUUAGAUAUCAACAACUAAUUUGUGAUUAUGUUGGUAUUUUCCAGUAAAAGAAUAGCUAGCAGUUAUGGUUGCAUUCUUUUUAAAUUCUGUGCAGGCGCGUGAUGUAUUUAGCUUCAGACCUCGACUGGAAAUGAAAUUUCUUUUUCUCAA